AUUGCAAUCUAUAUUUUUUGUUUCUUAAUGAGUGAAACUAUUUUUUAUUUUUUUUAUUAUUCUCUAGUGUGAUACCGUAGGAAAUGUUCCUUUGCUGAAAACUGAGUAAAAGGACUAAGCUUUUGGAAAAGGAGCAACUCCAUUAAGAUGGACGGUCUCCAGCAGAAGGAGGAAGAGCAUAGAACAUAUCAGAAAAAAACUUUGCCAUAAAGGUAGGAUAGGUAAGUGAAUGAAUAGGAUAUGAAGGGAAGUAGAGAACUGAAGUCAUAA
This 270-nucleotide long non-coding RNA is filed under the name Anser brachyrhynchus (Pink-footed goose). RNAcentral describes it as "lncRNA (ENSABRG00000004902.1)". Lineage: Eukaryota; Metazoa; Chordata; Aves; Anseriformes; Anatidae. The record is from RNAcentral.